This 64-nucleotide transfer RNA is filed under the name Megaspilidae sp. SJW-2015. Its description in RNAcentral is "tRNA-Ala". RNAcentral also lists the same sequence under 1 other name. Lineage: Eukaryota; Metazoa; Arthropoda; Insecta; Hymenoptera; Megaspilidae. The record is from RNAcentral.
AGGAUAAUAGUUAAAUUUAUAACAUUUAAUUUGCUUUUAAAAAUUAAUUAUUAAUUUUAUCUUA